AUUGAACGCUGGCGGCAGGCUUAACACAUGCAAGUCGAGCGGGGGGAGGUAGCUUGCUACCGGACCUAGCGGCGGACGGGUGAGUAAUGCUUAGGAAUCUGCCUAUUAGUGGGGGACAACAUCUCGAAAGGGAUGCUAAUACCGCAUACGUCCUACGGGAGAAAGCAGGGGAUCACUUGUGACCUUGCGCUAAUAGAUGAGCCUAAGUCGGAUUAGCUAGUUGGUGGGGUAAAGGCCUACCAAGGCGACGAUCUGUAGCGGGUCUGAGAGGAUGAUCCGCCACACUGGGACUGAGACACGGCCCAGACUCCUACGGGAGGCAGCAGUGGGGAAUAUUGGACAAUGGGGGGAACCCUGAUCCAGCCAUGCCGCGUGUGUGAAGAAGGCCUUAUGGUUGUAAAGCACUUUAAGCGAGGAGGAGGCUACUCUAGUUAAUACCUAGGGAUAGUGGACGUUACUCGCAGAAUAAGCACCGGCUAACUCUGUGCCAGCCGCCGCAGUAA
Molecule: ribosomal RNA, 503 nt
Filed under: uncultured bacterium
Lineage: Bacteria
Description: partial 16S ribosomal RNA
Rfam family: Bacterial small subunit ribosomal RNA
Source: RNAcentral